RNAcentral lists this ribosomal RNA (445 nucleotides) under uncultured bacterium. RNAcentral's name for it is "bacterial SSU rRNA". It matches the Rfam family "Bacterial small subunit ribosomal RNA", at positions 331 to 792 of the family's 1533-position model. The record is from RNAcentral.
CCAGACUCCUACGGGAGGCAGCAGUGGGGAAUAUUGCACAAUGGGGGAAACCCUGAUGCAGCGACGCCGCGUGAGGGAAGAAGGUUUUCGGAUUGUAAACCUCUGUCUUUGGUGACGAAAGAUGACGGUAGCCAAAGAGGAAGCUACGGCUAACUACGUGCCAGCAGCCGCGGUAAUACGUAGGGGGCAAGCGUUAUCCGGAUUUACUGGGUGUAAAGGGAGCGUAGACGGCAGCGCAAGUCUGGAGUGAAAUGCCGGGGCCCAACCCCGGAACUGCUCUGGAAACUGUGAAGCUGGAGUGCAGGAGAGGUAAGCGGAAUUCCUGGUGUAGCGGUGAAAUGCGUAGAUAUCAGGAGGAACACCGGCGGCGAAGGCGGCUUACUGGACUGUAACUGACGUUGAGGCUCGAAGGCGUGGGGAGCAAACAGGAUUAGAUACCCCAGUA